RNAcentral lists this ribosomal RNA (229 nucleotides) under uncultured bacterium. RNAcentral's name for it is "partial 16S ribosomal RNA". It matches the Rfam family "Bacterial small subunit ribosomal RNA", at positions 568 to 796 of the family's 1533-position model. The record is from RNAcentral.
UGCGUAGGCGGGCUAAUAAGUCAGUGGUGAAAUCUUCCGGCUCAACCGGGAACCUGCCAUUGAUACUGUUAGUCUUGAGUUCGGCUGAGGUAGGCGGAAUGUGUAAUGUAGCGGUGAAAUGCUUAGAUAUUACACAGAACACCAAUUGCGUAGGCAGCUUACUAGACCGACACUGACGCUGAGGCACGAAAGCGUGGGGAGCUAACAGGAUUAGAUACCCUGGUAGUCC